UACAGAGGCCACAAGCGUUAGUCGGAAUCACUGGGCUUAAAGGGUGCGUAGGCGGGCCCGCAAGCGUCUUGUGAAAUCCCAUGGCUCAACCAUGGAAUUGCAGGGCGAACUGCGGGUCUUGAGGCAGGUAGGGGCCGGAAGAACAGUAGGUGGAGCGGUGAAAUGCGUAGAUAUCUACUGGAAUGCCGAUGGGGAAGCCGUCCGGCUGGGCCUGUCCUGACGCUGAGGCACGAAAGCGUGGGGAGCAAACAGG
This 253-nucleotide ribosomal RNA is filed under the name uncultured bacterium. RNAcentral's name for it is "partial 16S ribosomal RNA". It matches the Rfam family "Bacterial small subunit ribosomal RNA", at positions 524 to 776 of the family's 1533-position model. The record is from RNAcentral.